Molecule: long non-coding RNA, 1449 nt
Organism: Portunus trituberculatus (swimming crab)
Lineage: Eukaryota; Metazoa; Arthropoda; Malacostraca; Decapoda; Portunidae
Exons: 3
Source: RefSeq, a predicted model, not a curated record
GAACUCCUUUAUGGCAGGAAUGUCCGUGGCCCUUUGUCCAUCCUUCACGAGUUGCUGACCAACGAGGAGCUAGACCAAGAACUACGCAGUUCCUACCGGCACGUGUUAGAACUACGUGAAAGGUUAGAAGAUGCUGCAGGAGCCGCUCUAGCUAACGCGAAGGUAAGCACCAAGAAAUACAAACAAUGCUUUGACCGUAAAGCAAAGCCACGUAAUCUAUCUUGUAGGUGACGAGGUGUUACUUCUGUCUAGCAGUACAAAUAAGCUUCCUUACAAUGGAAGGGUCCUUGUAAGGUAGCUGAACGUAGGUGACGGUGUUACUUCUGUCUAGCAUUACAAAUAAGCUUCCUUACAAUGGAAGGGUCCUUUUAAGGUAGCUGAACGCAAAGGUAAUGUUGAUUAUAUCAAGGUAAACGGGAAGCUGAAAUUAUUCCAUAUUAACAUGGUGAGAAAGUUUUACAGGUGAGGUGAAGUUAACACUUGACUCGGAUCAGGGUGCUCCCUUGUUCAGUCUAUCACUACAGGGUUAAUACAGAUGGAGGAAGGAGCGGAUGAAAUUUUAGUGCUCGUCAACGAUGGUCUCCACCAGCACUACAACAUUUUGCAUUCUACUUGAAAGGAAAAGAAUUUAUUAUACAGACGGAUCACCAGCCGAUGACUUAUCUCAGGAAUAUGCAAAACAACAAAAAGUAGAUUGAUGAGGUGGGCUCUAACCCUAGUCAUAUGGGUUUACCAUAUAAUAUAUUCCAGGUAAGGAGAAUUUCUUGGCAGAUCUGUUAAGUAGGCCAUGAAGCACGUCUUGGAAGCGGCCACCAUCCUGGUGAGAUCUUUAUAUUUUGUCAUAAUAUGAAGUUGAAUGGGGGGAUAUGUCAGGGAUGGUCGUUCUUCCAAGACCGUGAAGUCACCAGUUGACUUAUAAUUAGCGCGGAUAUUUUCGUGAACGAAGCCUCGCCUGACGAGUACCGGGCGGUUUCAUUAGGAGGCGACAUGGGUAACCGGUAGUGGCUUCCCGUCAGUUCCUCCUCUCGCCAGCGAGCACGUUACUUCCCCUCUUUCUUGUAUUUGGGGAAAGGGUCUUGUGUGUGUGACUGUGGCUCGCGUCUGGCUGUGGUGUAUGUCGCACCGAGAGAGAGAGAGGGCUCACUCCAGCACGUUGCGACGGAGUCACGAGAAGGUGCCGGCUGUCUUGCCUGUCACAAGACGCCAGCUGACCAGGACUCAGAGUGAGAAGGCAACGAGCGGGCACCAGCGCAGCUUGUCGGCGCGUUAUAGCUUGCCGGGGUGACGAUGAUCAGAGCCGUGAGUGUUAUGUACGCAGCCAGUUCGCUAGGAGCUGUUUCCUGCCCUCUUGUCUGUACUGGACAUCGUGCACAGUGACCGGCGCAGUGUGGUGUCCGGCAUAAGCACUACGUGGCCUGGGUGUCCACUGGAGUGGCUGUGACUGUGGAU